AGUCGCAUGCAGGACAGCACCGCGUGCGGCAGCUGCUCUGGUGGCCUCCUGCUUACCCGGCCCUCCACUUUACCGUUAGCACGGAGUGCGGCACCCUGCUUGGGCCUUUCGGCUCUGCCUCCCCUGCCCGUCACGGCGGGUCACGACAUCGGCCAGGACGCAGCAGAAGGGACAAGACACGCAAAGAAGAUGGCGCACCCACCUCGGCACCGAAGGCCAGUGCGACCUCCCGGGAGCAGGCGGGCCAGCACGGGCCUUCCCGGAGGAGACAGCUAAGCCGAGACCUGGGACUGCAGAGGAGAAACAAGGAGGAGGCAGGCGGGGCCCGGUGCCCUCCUCGUCUGCCGUGCCGGGUGGACGGUCUGCUCGCCUGUCUGCGUGACGAAACUGAGGCACAAAGACGCGCUAUGCCAGCGGCGGGUAUAGCAAGGGCUCCCUCCGCGCCACGUGUUGCCAUCCACCACACAGGAAUGACCGUCUCCGUGUCAUAGAUGGGAAACCAGGACGUGUAGGCAUCAGCAGGUGCAGGCCCUGGAAGACAAGGGAGGAGCCUGUGAGCCACCGGCCCACGUGAAAGUAAAUGCAUGAAGUUCCCUCUCGCUGAACUGAAAAGAGCCUCAACCUGGACCUGACACCAACUUCGCCGGUGCUGCCUGGCUGGUUGCUCUAGCGCCCUGAAGGAGAGGAAUGCAGUCAUAUUUCACUGUGAUUUUCAGUGUCAUUUCCACGAAGACUAAUGAUGUUGAGCUUUUUUUUCUCCAUAAUACAGGAAAGAGACCCAAACCCAUGAAGAAUGAGAUACAUGUACAGUUUUGAUUAUAAAACCAAAGAAUAAUGGCUUCACAAGAUGACGGCUGGGCUCCUGGGCUGCCUUCAGUGUCUUUAAACAGAGAUAGAGUCUUGCUAUGUUGUCCAGGCUGACACUGAACUCUUGGGCUCCAACGAUCCUCCUGCCCCGGCCUCCUGAGUACCUGGGAUUAUAGGCACAAGUCACCAUGCCCAGCCGGAAUAAUCUGAAGGAAAGACGGGUAUAUUCAAGAUGACUUUGCUGCUGGAAAUAUGACAGAAUAAUGUGGUAUCUUCUUCUGCACUUCCAAGCUCUUUCACACUCAGGCUCUUCCUGGCUUUUCUGCCUCAGCCACCAUAAACUGUGGUUGCUUCUCCAGCUCUGUUACAGUUCAGACUUGAGGGGAGGUGACAAGAGCUAACAUGUUACCAUGGGGAGCCUGGCUGACAUCUCCGAAACUGAAGACUCUAUGGAAGCCUCAUGCUAUUGCAAUGUGUACAUCAAAAGUAAAGUACCCCAGGUUAAAACUAUGAGGAAGUUGCCAUCUUUACUUCCAGGAGCAAAGACACUGAAACUGUCCCCUGUAAGCCCCUUAAUUUCAUACAGUCCUCUGACUGCCCCCCCAACCCUGGCUACUUUUUUUUGAAAUAAGGUCUCACUCUGUCAUCCAGGCUGGAGUGCAGUGGCAAAAUCACAAUACCCUGCAGCCUUGACCUCAUGGGCUCAAGCAGUCCUCCCACCUCAGCCUCCUGGGUAGCUGGGACUACAGGCUUGCACUACCACACCCAGCUUAUUUUUUGUAGAGACAGAGUUUCGUCAUGUUGCCCAGGCUGGUCUCAGGAGUCACUCCUGAGCUCAAGUGAUCCGCCUGCCUUGGCCUCCCACAGUGCUGGGAUUACAGGAGUGAGCCACCAUGUCUGGUCCUCUGACCCUUUUAGCAGGAAAUCCAGCCCAGCCCCUGAACGGCAUGUUAGACAGUUCAACAAAGCCUUCUAGAAGACCAAAGAAGACUCAUAGGAAUAAGCCUCUUGCUGAUUAAUGGAAACAUGACCAUUUGUGGAGAAAGUGCAAUCUGCAUUGAACACCUUUAGGGGAACCUGUCAUUUAAGACUUCAAGCAUUACCAUGAAAACUUCCUCUGAAACACCUUACAGACAUCUCUGUAAAACAGAUUUAAAAAGAAACACAUUUCUGCUUAAUCGGUACACAUCAAAUGGCGAUUUAAGAGCAAGGCUAGGAAACCAGAAGAUGAUAUGCAUAUACAUAAAGUUGCCACUAUUCCAAAUAGUAAAAUAAAGACAAAGUCAAUGGUCCUAGGAGAGCUGGUGGGUUGUGGAGCCAGGAGAGAAAGGCAGCUCCCUUCACCUUCCCUGUACAUUCCAGGAGGCCCUAGAAUGACCUAGAUGGUGUUACGCACAAAGCCCUCCUUUUCCCAUCCCGCCAUCAUCUCAGGAGCAAAUGGCCACACUCGGGUAUACGGAGCAGCUCAAGCAACCAGGUCUUCCUGCCAUUCCCCUGAAAGGGCUGGUUUUGCCAAACGCCAGAGCCACAUUGUGUUAAUCAGCGCCCAUCCCUAGACACAGGGGCUUGCAGCCUUGUCACACAAAUGAGCCAUGGAGAUGUUUCCGACUCCUCCCCUCCCUGCCACUCACAAGCAGCCAGCUGCCGAGCCCUGCAGACUCUUCCUUUACGACGUCAGUUGUAUCCACUUCCCUUCUGGUCCCACACCCAAGUUCAGGACCAUUUUAGCACGUGCCUACAUUAUUGCCACAGCCAUUGUCUUCAUCUGUUUUGUGCUGCUGUACAAGGAACAAACUUAUUUGGCUUGUGGUUUGGGAGGUUGGGAAAUCCAAGAUCCAGGGCCACAUCUGCUGAAGGCCUUCCUGCUGUACCGUAACAUAACGGGAGGCAUCACUGGUGAGAGAGAGAGAGCACAAGAAAGGGCCAAACUCGCUUUUAUAGUGAACCCACUCCUGCAAUAACAACGUUCAAAUGCUAACCACCUCUUCCCGUCCCUGCCCCUCAACAUGGCCAUGCUGGGGAUUAAGUGUCCAACACAUGAGCUUUGGGAUACAUGUUCCAACUACAGCCGCCACCUGCUGUCCUCCUUGCCUUCUCCCUCUUCUCUACACUUCUGCCGGAUUCUCUAGUUGGAUUAAUCUUGAAACAUCACUUAAUUGUUACCACUCUCCCAAAAGCAGUCAAUUUUAACCCAUUCCCAACAGGCUUGAGAAUAAAAGUUUCAGCCAAUCAGUCAUCACCUGCUUCCAUCUGAACCCCAUCUUCCUUUCUAGCCUAAGCAUAUUCUUUGAUGCUUACUAUUUUCCUACCUCACCUUGGGGAGAUUCCAGGUACUAGAGAAAGGCAGAUGAGUCAGAGGCUUCCCUUCCAGAGAGGAGCCCAUCUAUGCACUGAUGCUUAACCCAGGCAAUGGAUCAGAAGCUCUCUGGGACUCAGACCUAGACCUACAGAAUAUAUUUAUGGGGGUAAAGGCUGGGAGUGUGCGUGUUUUUAAGGAGUUCCACAAGUGAUUCUGCCACAUAGCACCAACUGUAAGGGAAGACAGAUAUGUAACAAUGUUCAGUGCCAUUACAGGGAGUCCAGGAGGGCCCACCAUGGCCCUAAGAUUUAAGGAGACAGCUAGUUAAACUCUUUGUUUUUUUGUUUUUUUUUUGAGACGGAGUUUUGCUGUGCCGCCCAGGCUGGAGUGCAAUGUUGCAAUCUCGGCUUACCGCAACCUCCGCCUCCUGGGUUCAAGCGAUUCUCCUGCCUCAGCCUCCCAAGUAGCUGGGACUACAGGCAUGCGCCACCACGCCCAGCUAAUUUUUGUAUUUUUAGUAUAGACGGGGUUUCACCAUGUUGGCCAGGAUGGUCUUGAUCUCUUGACCUUGUGAUCCGCCCGCCUCGGCCUCCCAAAGUGCUGGGAUUACAGGCGUGAGCCACCACACCUGGCUUGUUAAACAAACUCUCCAAACACCACUUCAACAUCACCCACUCCCAUGGGCAUUCCUAACAGAAAAAAGAAUCAACAAAGAUGUGGAAAUGUAAGCCUGUUUGAAAAAUGGCAAGUGCGCAGGAUAAAGCAGUGAACUCAGCUCAAGCACAAGAUACAACACGGGUUGCAAAACAGGUAGAGAGAGGUGCAAACUGGGGGGAUGAGGUCAGCUGGACCUCAGUAAAAGCAGCUUUGAUUUCUGAACUUUGCCGACAGGUAGGGGGGCACCAAGGGAGGUUUACGCCCUGCAAAGGGACAGGACCCACUUACAGUUUAGAAAGACGACUCUGGCCAUGGUCUGAAGGGUGGGCAGAACCAAGAGAAGGCCCUGAAAGCAGUGAGGCUAACUGAACACCACACAUUUGGCUUAAAAAGCAAGGGAAAGAACAGAGUGGGGGGCCAGGCACGGUGGCUCACGCCUGUAACCCCUGCACUUUGGGAGGCCAAGGUGGGUGGAUCACCUGAGGUCAGGAGUUCGAGACCAGCCUGGCCAACAUGGCGAAACCCCGUCUCUACUAAAAAUAUAAAAAUUAGCCGGGCAUGGUGGCAGGUGCCUGUAAUUCCAGCUACUUGGGAGGCUGAGGCAGAAGAAUUGCUUGAACCCAGGAGGCAAAGGUUGCAGUGAGCUGAUAUCAUGCCACUGCACUCCAGCCUGGGCGGCAGAGUGAGACUCUGUCUCAAAAUACAAAACAAACAAACAAACAAAAACAAAACAAAACAAAAACAAACCAGAGUGGGGCACACUCCCACUUUGACAGGGAAACAAAAUAUGUGUGUGAACCUCUGAAAAGAUACACAAGGAAAAUGACCAUGGCUGACUCUGGGAAGAGAAAUGGGUGAAGACGAGGAUGGAGGGACACGCACUCUUACCAAAUGAUCUCCUUAUCUUUGGAAUGCUGCACAUCUUAACUAUUCAAUAGAUUAUUUAAGAGGUAAUAAAAACCGUUAUCAAGUUAUUUUAUCAGUUCACAAAAGAGACGAUGAAGAUGUGAAAACUGUGGUGGCUGUCAGGUAAGAAGAGAAAAGCUGUGAGAUCAAAGAGAAAGAAUCCACGAAGUUUUAGAGUUUUAGUGGCUGACGUAAGGGAAGAAAACAUUUCAACAGUGAGAGAAGUAACAGAAGCCACAGAAAUUCAAAACAGAAUAAGGGCUGGGCAUGGUGGCUCACGCCUGUAAUCCCAGCACUUUGGGAGGCCGAGGUGGGUGGAUCACUUGAGGUCAGGAGUUUGAGACCAGCCUGGCCAACAUAGUGAAACCCCAUCUCUACUGAAAACACAAAAAAUUAGCCAGGCGUGGUGGCAGGCACCUGUAAUCCCAGCUACUCGGGAGACUGAGGCAGGAGAAUUGUUUGAAUAUGGGAGGUGGAGGUUGCAGUGAGCAGAGAUUGCGCCAAUGCACUCCAGCCUGGGUGACAGAGCGAGACUCCGUCUCAAAACAACAACAACAACAAAACAAAACAACAAAACAGAAUAAGGACUAAAAACCAGCCACUGACUCCAUCAACUAAGGUGACCUUGUGAAGGCGGGUUAGAAAUCACACUGCAGCGGGCUGCGCUGGGAACAGCAAUCCUGGAAGCAGAUGGUUAGUGGUUUUUGAAUUUGGGGUGAAAAGAGUAACAGAAAAGAGAGAUGAGGCAAUAGCUGUAGAGGAAAA
RNAcentral lists this long non-coding RNA (5434 nucleotides) under Homo sapiens (human). Its description in RNAcentral is "HSALNT0356467". The stretch from base 4930 to 5046 matches the Rfam family "Metazoan signal recognition particle RNA". The record is from RNAcentral. Lineage: Eukaryota; Metazoa; Chordata; Mammalia; Primates; Hominidae.